Molecule: ribosomal RNA, 253 nt
Filed under: uncultured bacterium
Lineage: Bacteria
Description: partial 16S ribosomal RNA
Rfam family: Bacterial small subunit ribosomal RNA
Source: RNAcentral
UACGGAGGGUGCAAGCGUUGUUCGGAAUUACUGGGCGUAAAGCACGCGUAGGCGGCUUGGUAAGUUGGAAGUGAAAUCCCAGGGCUUAACUCUGGAACUGCUUUCAAAACUAUCAAGCUAGAGUAUGGCAGGGGACAGUGGAAUUCCUAGUGUAGAGGUGAAAUUCGUAGAUAUUAGGAGGAACACCAGUGGCGAAAGCGACUGUCUGGACCAUUACUGACGCUGAGGCGUGAAAGCGUGGGGAGCAAACAGG